Salvelinus sp. IW2-2015 is the source of this 615-nucleotide long non-coding RNA. RefSeq lists it as uncharacterized. Lineage: Eukaryota; Metazoa; Chordata; Actinopteri; Salmoniformes; Salmonidae. The record is from RefSeq and is a predicted model, not a curated record.
CUUUGAUGCAGGGCCAGGAGCUGAUGUAUGCUGCUAUGCCCAUCAAAGGGGUGCUGGCAAAGACCUUACCUCCAGUCUCACCUCUUUCCUGCUCACCAACGGUUGUCGACGGGGAGACCCAGAAUUAGAUGCUUCGAUGGUGCCAGCACUUGGAGACUUGCAAGACGAUGUGAGGAAGUCCAGACUGACAGAGAAGCUUGAUACUGAUGUCUCUAACCUGCCCGAGCAGCAGAACUGUCAGCCCUGGACAACCGACUGAGUGCUAGUGAGAGCCAGGUAGAUGAGCUGAAGAGAGUGUGAAUGCAGAGAGACCAAAGGUGGCAUUCUAUGCUGAUUUGACUGAUACGGGCCCUUCAACACUAACACUACUCUGAAGUACAGUAACUUCUUCACCAACAUCGGCAAGGGCUACAACCCAGCCACAAGUAGGCUAAUGACUACACUAAACUGGCCACAUGCUGGCACGGGGAGAAUAUUUAGGGGUUCAAAGCAGCGACGCUGAGAGAAACCCAAUUGUAUUUGUUGCCGUUAGCUAUUAUUUAGCCUAGUUUUUUGGCUUGUCAUUUCAGAAUGAUGAAGGUUUUUCUUUAUUUUUUACUAUUUUAUACAAAACUA